GACGAACGCUGGCGGCGUGCUUAACACAUGCAAGUCGAACGGAAAGGCCUGCUUUCCCUUGUGGAUUGCGGGUACUCGAGUGGCGAACGGGUGAGUAACACGUGAGUGAUCUGCCCCCAACUUGGGUAUAAGCCUGGGAAACUGGGUCUAAUUCCCGAUAGGACUGCAGGGUGGUGCCGGUGGUGGAAAACGAGAUUCUAGUGGUUGGGGAUGAGCUCGCGGCCUAUCAGCGUGUUGGUGGGGUAAUGGCCUACCAAGGCGGCGACGGGUAGCCGGCCUGAGAGGGUGGACGGCCACAUUGGGACUGAGAUACGGCCCAGACUCCUACGGGAGGCAGCAGUGGGGAAUAUUGCACAAUGGGCGGAAGCCUGAUGCAGCGACGCCGCGUGGGGGAUGACGGCCUUCGGGUUGUAAACUCCUUUCGACCGCGAGGAAGCCACCUGGUUGGAAGGGUGGUGACGGUAGUGGUAGAAGAAGCACCGGCUAACUACGUG
This 494-nucleotide ribosomal RNA is filed under the name uncultured bacterium. Its description in RNAcentral is "partial 16S ribosomal RNA". It matches the Rfam family "Bacterial small subunit ribosomal RNA", at positions 28 to 507 of the family's 1533-position model. The record is from RNAcentral.